CGUGCAGGCGGCCUGGUAAGUCGGGCGUGAAAUCUCUCGGCUCAACCGGGAGGGGUCGUCCGAAACUACUAGGCUUGAGGGCAGUAGAGGGAGGUGGAAUUCCCGGUGUAGUGGUGAAAUGCGUAGAGAUCGGGAGGAACACCAGUGGCGAAGGCGGCCCCCUAGGCUGUCCCUGGCGCUCAGACGCGAAAGCUAGGGGAGCGAACGGGAUUAGAAACCCCGGUAGUCCUAGCUGUAAACGAUGCAGACUAGGUGUUGGCAGCUUAAACCCUGCCAGUGCCGUAGCCAACGCGUGAAGUCUGCCACCUGGGGACUACGGCCGCAAGGCUAAA
This 332-nucleotide ribosomal RNA is filed under the name uncultured bacterium. RNAcentral describes it as "bacterial SSU rRNA". It matches the Rfam family "Bacterial small subunit ribosomal RNA", at positions 568 to 898 of the family's 1533-position model. The record is from RNAcentral.